GUAAAGUCUGUUCAGAGAAAACAUGGGCAAAUGCAGGAAUUCAUUGCUAACUGUACACAUUCCAUCAAAAGACUGAAACUUUCCCUAGACUAUCAACUGUUACCAAGUCUUACUUUAGUAAAUAACGGAAUGAAAAUCCCUGUACACGAACAUUUGAACAUCUAGGUUGUAUUUUUACACCUCCCUUUACUUUCCUCACACCUCCUCCCUCACCCCCCCUAAAUAAACUAUUAGUGAGUAGUAAACUCAGGAUAAAAUGAAUUUAAGUGGACCAGCUGAGAAACUAGAAUUGCUCAGAUUUAUAAGCCCCACGAAAGGCGCAGAGCUUGAUGUAUAAUCAUUGCUCGAUUAACUUUUCACGUACAUUCGCAGUUAAUUGUCCAUUUUAUUAGGUAUGUAACACCUGAAUUUAAAAGGGUGUAUUUUACCAGUAACUUUAAAGCACUUAAUUAUUUUCUUAAAUUAUGUGAAUUUUUAAAAUACAAAUUGUGUUUAGUUGGUCUUGUCAAAAUGUUAGAUAAAUUUUUUUAAAAUGUGUCUAGUUUGAGGUGUCUCUUUGAAACUAAUGGAUGUAGCUACCCUUUUAACCUGCUAAGUGAUUUAAGUAUUCUCGUUUGCAUACAAAAUAGUCAUAUUUAGAGCGAAAAGUUUCCUAGAAAUAGGCUUUCUAAUCACCAAUUUACUAGCCAACAUUUAUUUAUUGACAUCUACAUUUUGAUGAGAAUUAUGAUAGAAUAUUAACCAAUCCCAUUGUACAGAGAAAAGUAACAUGUUCUUCCUCAGAGCCCACACAGUACAUGCUAAAAUUACAGCAUUUAGAGUAUGUUUUUUAUCCAUGUUCCAUGAACUAAAGCUCCAUUGGCC
Molecule: long non-coding RNA, 864 nt
Filed under: Marmota monax (woodchuck)
Lineage: Eukaryota; Metazoa; Chordata; Mammalia; Rodentia; Sciuridae
Source: RNAcentral